CUUUGGUUAACCUUCCCCCACACUUAAACUAAAUAACACAAACUCACAGAAAUCAAACAAAUAACACAACUAACUAAACAAGACAAAAUGAAAGCAUUAAAGAUAAGGGUGUAAAAAUGCAAAUCUGAUUGGGUUAGCGAUUCCAAAGUCUCCCUUCGUUGAAUGCUUGGGUUGCCUCCCAAGAAGCGCUUGAUUUAACGUCUUUUAGCCGGACGCAUCUUUCCUUUAAAUUUCCCUCGGCUCCAUUUGAACCUAAAAUCAAAGAAAGAAAAAUAAAUCAAAUAUCAAAAGUAAAAUACACAAACACCAAUAUAAACAUAAACAAAAACAAAAAUAAAAGGAUUAGCAAAGUUACUAAUCCCCGGCAACGGCGCCAAAAUUUGGUGCGAGAAUUACUUGACACACAAAUUAAACCCUCUUUUUGACAAUUGUAGUAUAGAUGUAAGUAGGGUAUCGUUCUAGGCCGGGGAUUAGGAGGGAUUGCUAAUCUAUUCUAAAUUAAUUUAAAAAUAUUAAAUAAGACUCAAGGACACAAAAUUAGGCUAAAAACUCUAAUAACUCGAAACACACUUAAAAUGACUCAAAAUAAUGAAAACAAUUAAAUUAAACACUAGGAACUGAAAUGGACGGAAAAUUAAAUUAAAAGACUAACAAUAAAGAAAACUAACUAAAUAAUAUAAUUUAAUAAUGGAUGGGUGUUUGGUUUUGAUGAAAAGUAAAUUAAACUUAAUUAAAUUACAGAAUUGAUAAAAACAUAAAAUUAAGGUAAAAUGAUAAAUGACGGACUAGCUAGAGGGUUCUUCUCCACACAUGACACAUAUGCAACCUAAAUUGAUUUUCAGUUGUUCUUUCAAUAAAUUGUGAAUCUCAAUACUCCAGAUUAACCGUGAACAACACUUUUUUAAUCUUCAAGUUUUCCUUAAGUUAUUGAAUUGGACGGAAAAACGCAUACAACAAUUCAAAACAUUCUUCAAAAGUCCCCUACGUGAAAAGCACAAUAGAGAUACAAUCAAAGAUCAUUAAACUUUGUGAAAACUAUAAACAUUGACGAGGCAUUCGUAACUAUGAAAAGCAUGAUACUCUUGCCAAGAAUUUACUUAACGUGAUUGUGACU
RNAcentral lists this long non-coding RNA (1114 nucleotides) under Malus domestica (apple). Its description in RNAcentral is "long non-coding RNA (MDOM_LNC012726)". Lineage: Eukaryota; Viridiplantae; Streptophyta; Magnoliopsida; Rosales; Rosaceae. The record is from RNAcentral.